Molecule: long non-coding RNA, 962 nt
Filed under: Salmo salar (Atlantic salmon)
Lineage: Eukaryota; Metazoa; Chordata; Actinopteri; Salmoniformes; Salmonidae
Description: lncRNA (ENSSSAG00000084350.1)
Source: RNAcentral
GUUACCUGUAGUAUCCAUAGCGUCUCUCUCUCACUCCGCAUAGGAAGCAGCGCGCAGAGUGAACUGAGCAGUGAGCUCGCCUUCUGUGCUGAAAAUGGAUCCCCCCUCGCUUCCCUUUCGAGGGCGACUCACGCCCAUCCUUUAUAUUCAAGUACAGUAGAAUGUCGACAGCACCGCGUACAAUGACUCUCCACUCACUAGUAGACUAGUAGAAUAAGCACACGUCUCGAUUAAUGAGUUUGUUUACAUAACCAGUUGAAUGUUGUGAGAUCAUACAUCACCGGACCUCACGGGACAGCAGAGUUCACGGCUGACUCCCAGUGUGCAGCCGCAAUUUAUUUCCCCCUGUCUUAUCGCGCGCUGAUUAAUCAGAGAUGAAAGGGGAAGGAUCGGAGGCAGGAAGGAUCGGAGGCAGGAAGGAUCGGAGGCAGGAAGGAUCGGAGAGGAGAGGAGAGGAGGGGGAAGGUGUAUCGUUAAGGAUCUUUUAGGAAUGACGAUACUGCAUCUCCACCUGUUCUCUACAAAAAGGGUGGUCCAUUUCUUGUUCUGUUCUCUACAAAUAGGGUGUUCAAUUUCCUGUUCUGUUCUCUACAAAAAGGGUGGUCCAUUUCCUGUUCUGUUCUCUACAAAUAGGGUGUUCAAUUUCCUGUUCUGUUCUCUACUAAAAGGGUGGUCCAUUUCCUGUUCUGUUCUCUACAAAUAGGGGUGGUCCAUUUCCUGUUCUGUUCUCUACAAAUAGGGUGGUCCAUUUCCUGUUCUGUUCUCUACUAAAAGGGUGGUCCAUUUUCUGUUCUGUUCUCUGCAGAGAGAAGGGACAGAGUUGCUACUGUUUCAAAGUCAUACUGUUAGAAUUAGAUUGAGAUUAACUUUAUCAGAUUCUUUACUGGAGGCCUAUUUAUUUGAUUAUGUAGCCUGGAAACUGAAAUUCAUGAACAAUUGACAGAUAAUCUAUACAUGCUCUG